UGUUGUGAUUCGUGCAGGAAAGUGGAAGAAAUCAGGGUGAAAUAAAUGUGCUUUGUUGCGUUUUGUUGUGAAUGAGAAGUCAGAGGUCAGUGCUCUAAUGAGGAGGGGGCUGCGUCAGGUGACGUUAGCGGACCUGCCGGUCGGUCUCGCAAUCGCCUAGGAAACGCUCGCUGUCGUGGGGGAGGUGGGGGGUAGCUGCUAUCAUCUCUGCAUGGCCACACACACCUGAAAGGAGCACUAGAAGAAGCCGCAGAUCAGAGCUAAGC
This is a long non-coding RNA of Anguilla anguilla (European eel), 266 nucleotides long. RefSeq lists it as uncharacterized. The transcript is spliced from 3 exons. NCBI's taxonomy places the organism in Eukaryota, Metazoa, Chordata, Actinopteri, Anguilliformes, Anguillidae. The record is from RefSeq and is a predicted model, not a curated record.